CAUCCGACCACAGCUGCCAAAGAUGCCGGUCACCUGUUCGGUGUGUUUCAGCUCAGGGAUCAGCUGGUCUGUGAUGCCGGCAUGAUCCCUUCACAAAACGUCUGCAACAUGACCUGCUCUGCUUUGACUGACGAUGACAUCACUGAUGACAUCACCUGCCUGAAGACCCUGACAAACUUUAUGAAUGCAAAACCCAAAGAGGUCCUAUUUGAUGUAAAGAAGAUCGCGGAGAUGAUGUUGGUGGAGGAGUGUCGCUCUGUCGUUCCUCCAAACUACUUUGCUGAAUGCGUUUAAAACAGAUGGAGCAGACUCACUCAAGAUUAGAUUCUUCCUGCUGCAUUACUUACACACACAUCAGUCCGAUGCUUUCCAUGGCAGCUGUCUUUGAUUGAAUAAUAAUGAUGGUGGCGGGAGUUUAAAUGAGAGUCUGAAUAUAGGGAGUUUGUGCAUUAAGACACUUUAGUUCAUUACUGUAAUACUGUGAAUGUCUAAACAUAUAUCACUGUAUAAACCUAAAAAUAUAUCAUUGUAUAAUCCAAUAUGAUUGUGAUGCUGCUGAGAGCUUUUAAACACUGUCACUUUAUCAUA
Molecule: long non-coding RNA, 588 nt
Organism: Carassius auratus (goldfish)
Lineage: Eukaryota; Metazoa; Chordata; Actinopteri; Cypriniformes; Cyprinidae
Exons: 4
Source: RefSeq, a predicted model, not a curated record